ACGUGCCCUUUGGUUCGGAACAACCCAGUGGAAACUUGGGCUAAUACCGGAGUGAGCCCUUACGGGGAAAGAUUAUCGCCGAAGGAUCGGCCCGCGUCUGAUUAGCUUGUUGGUGAGGUAACGGCUCACCA
This 131-nucleotide ribosomal RNA is filed under the name uncultured Variovorax sp. Its description in RNAcentral is "partial 16S ribosomal RNA". It matches the Rfam family "Bacterial small subunit ribosomal RNA", at positions 124 to 270 of the family's 1533-position model. The record is from RNAcentral. Lineage: Bacteria; Pseudomonadati; Pseudomonadota; Betaproteobacteria; Burkholderiales; Comamonadaceae.